This 254-nucleotide ribosomal RNA is filed under the name uncultured bacterium. RNAcentral describes it as "partial 16S ribosomal RNA". It matches the Rfam family "Bacterial small subunit ribosomal RNA", at positions 524 to 776 of the family's 1533-position model. The record is from RNAcentral.
UACGGGGGGGGCAAGCGUUGUUCGGAAUUACUGGGCGUAAAGGGCGCGUAGGCGGUCAGACUAAGUCAGAUGUAAAAUACCAAGGCUUAACCUAGGCAGGUCAUUUGAUACUGGUCGACUAGAGUGUAGAAGGGGUUACUGGAAUUCCUGGUGUAGCGGUGAAAUGCGUAGAUAUCAGGAGGAACACCGGAGGCGAAGGCGGGUAACUGGGCUAACACUGACGCUGAGGCGCGAAAGCUAGGGGAGCAAACAGG